UGCCAUGCAAUCCUAACCUCUUUUACUUACCCUAAAUUUCAUAAUUUUCAGGCUUCUACUGAGAAUAAGGAUGGCCAGAGCUCACCAAGCUGCCUCCAGGCACCUAAGCCAGCCAUGACAAUUUAGAGAAAGAGAAAAAUAGACUUGCUCUGUUUGAUUGGGCCCUGGGAAAGUCUGAAGCACAAAGAUAAAAGUGAAAUGGUUCUAUGGAGAUUUGAUGGUGAGAAACCAGACACCUUAGGAUCCAAUACUUCAGCUUCAUCAGUGGAUCCUCCAGAAUGACCUUCUUGCUAUAAAGAGAAUGCUACGUGUUUAUCAACGAUUCAUCGUGACCAGCCUAUAAAGCCCUUGGAUUGAGUAGCCCAUGCGAGUAAAAGGAGCCAAAUACCUACAGCCAAGACAAAGGUUGUUUAUGGAUUAUUUGCAUCAACAUUUCUUGGUGUAGUCAGCAGGAUUUCAGAGAAACCCACUGGAG
This 475-nucleotide long non-coding RNA is filed under the name Equus caballus (horse). RNAcentral describes it as "lncRNA (ENSECAG00000048428.1)". The record is from RNAcentral. Lineage: Eukaryota; Metazoa; Chordata; Mammalia; Perissodactyla; Equidae.